RNAcentral lists this ribosomal RNA (322 nucleotides) under uncultured eukaryote. Its description in RNAcentral is "partial 18S ribosomal RNA". It matches the Rfam family "Eukaryotic small subunit ribosomal RNA", at positions 1470 to 1796 of the family's 1831-position model. The record is from RNAcentral.
CCCUUAGAUGUUCUGGGCCGCACGCGUGCUACACUGAGUGGAUCAGCGGGUCAGGUUGCGCGAAAGUGUUUCCUAAUCUUGAAAUCCGCUCGUGAUGGGGAUUGACGGUUGCAAUUUUCCGUCAUGAACGAGGAAUACCUUGUAAGCGCGGGUCAUCAUCCCGCGCUGAAUACGUCCCUGCCCUUUGUACACACUGCCCGUCGCUCCUACCGAUUGAGUGGUCCGGUGAGGCUUUGGGAUCUGAGCGGAAAGAGCGUUUCGCUGUUUCUGCUCGGAAAACUCAGUCGAACCUUAUCAUUUAGAGGAAGGAGAAGUCGUAACA